AACGAACGCUGGCGGCAGGCCUAACACAUGCAAGUCGAACGCUCGUAGCAAUACGGGAGUGGCGGACGGGUGAGCAACACGUGGGAACGUGCCCUUUGGUUCGGAACAACUCCGGGAAACUGGAGCUAAUACCGGAUAAGCCCUUACGGGGAAAGAUUUAUCGCCAAAGGAUCGGCCCGCGUCUGAUUAGCUAGUUGGCGGGGUAAUGGCCCACCAAGGCGACGAUCAGUAGCUGGUCUGAGAGGAUGACCAGCCACACUGGGACUGAGACACGGCCCAGACUCCUACGGGAGGCAGCAGUGGGGAAUAUUGGACAAUGGGCGCAAGCCUGAUCCAGCCAUGCCGCGUGAGUGAUGAAGGCCCUAGGGUUGUAAAGCUCUCUCGGCGGGGACGAUAAUGACGGUACCCGCAGAAGAAGCCCCGGCUAACUUCGUGCC
RNAcentral lists this ribosomal RNA (437 nucleotides) under uncultured bacterium. Its description in RNAcentral is "bacterial SSU rRNA". It matches the Rfam family "Bacterial small subunit ribosomal RNA", at positions 29 to 509 of the family's 1533-position model. The record is from RNAcentral.